This 336-nucleotide unclassified non-coding RNA is filed under the name soil metagenome. Its description in RNAcentral is "partial contains 5.8S ribosomal RNA, internal transcribed spacer 2, and large subunit ribosomal RNA". The stretch from base 1 to 120 matches the Rfam family "5.8S ribosomal RNA", at positions 35 to 154 of the family's 154-position model. The record is from RNAcentral.
GAUGAAGAACGUAGCGAAACGCGAUAGGUAAUGUGAAUUGCAGAAUUCCGUGAAUCAUCGAAUCUUUGAACGCACAUUGCGCCCGCCAGUAUUCUGGCGGGCAUGCCUGUUCGAGCGUCAUUUCAACCAUCAAGCCCCAGGCUUGUGUUGGGGACCUGCGGCUGCCGCAGGCCCUGAAAACCAGUGGCGGGCUCGCUGUCACACCGGGCGUAGUAGAUUUUAUCUCGCUCAGGGCGUGCUGCGGGUUCCGGCCGUUAAAAAGCCUUUUUUACCCAAGGUUGACCUCGGAUCAGGUAGGAAGACCCGCUGAACUUAAGCAUAUCAAUAAGCGGAGGA